This 2893-nucleotide ribosomal RNA is filed under the name Acinetobacter baumannii. RNAcentral's name for it is "23S ribosomal RNA". The record is from RNAcentral. Lineage: Bacteria; Pseudomonadati; Pseudomonadota; Gammaproteobacteria; Moraxellales; Moraxellaceae.
AGUCAAGUAAUUAAGUGCAUGUGGUGGAUGCCUUGGCAGUCAGAGGCGAUGAAAGACGUGAUAGCCUGCGAAAAGCUCCGGGGAGGCGGCAAAUAUCCUUUGAUCCGGAGAUGUCUGAAUGGGGGAACCCACCUACUUUAAGGUAGGUAUUGCAACAUGAAUACAUAGUGUUGCAAGGCGAACGAGGGGAAGUGAAACAUCUCAGUACCCUUAGGAAAAGAAAUCAAUUGAGAUUCCCUCAGUAGCGGCGAGCGAACGGGGAUCAGCCCAUUAAGUUAUGUGUGUUUUAGUGGAACGCUCUGGGAAGUGCGAACGUAGAGGGUGAUAUUCCCGUACACGAAAGGGCACACAUAAUGAUGACGAGUAGGGCGAGGCACGUGAAACCUUGUCUGAAUAUGGGGGGACCAUCCUCCAAGGCUAAAUACUCCUGACUGACCGAUAGUGAACCAGUACCGUGAGGGAAAGGCGAAAAGAACCCCUGUGAGGGGAGUGAAAUAGAUCCUGAAACCGCAUGCAUACAAGCAGUGGGAGCACCUUCGUGGUGUGACUGCGUACCUUUUGUAUAAUGGGUCAGCGACUUAUAUUCAGUAGCRAGGUUAACCGUAUAGGGGAGCCGUAGAGAAAUCGAGUCUUAAUAGGGCGUUUAGUUGCUGGGUAUAGACCCGAAACCAGGCGAUCUAUCCAUGAGCAGGUUGAAGGUUGGGUAACACUAACUGGAGGACCGAACCCACUGUCGUUGAAAAGCCAGGGGAUGACUUGUGGAUAGGGGUGAAAGGCUAAUCAAGCCUGGUGAUAGCUGGUUCUCCCCGAAAGCUAUUUAGGUAGCGCCUCGGACGAAUACCAUAGGGGGUAGAGCACUGUUUCGGCUAGGGGGUCAUCCCGACUUACCAAACCGAUGCAAACUCCGAAUACCUAUGAGUACUAUCCGGGAGACAGACUGCGGGUGCUAACGUCCGUAGUCAAGAGGAAAACAAUCCAGACCGCCAGCUAAGGCCCCAAAAUCAUAGUUAAGUGGGAAACGAUGUGGGAAGGCAUAGACAGCUAGGAGGUUGGCUUAGAAGCAGCCACCCUUUAAAGAAAGCGUAAUAGCUCACUAGUCGAGUCGGCCUGCGCGGAAGAUGUAACGGGGCUAAAACUAUGUGCCGAAGCUGCGGAUGUWKACUUWGUAYAMGUGGUAGGGGAGCGUUCUGUAAGCCGAUGAAGGUGURUUGAGAAGYAUGCUGGAGGUAUCAGAAGUGCGAAUGCUGACGUGAGUAACGACAAAACGGGUGAAAAACCCGUUCGCCGAAAGACCAAGGGUUCCAGUCCAACGUUAAUCGGGGCUGGGUGAGUCGACCCCUAAGGCGAGGCCGAAAGGCGUAGUCGAUGGGAAAAUGGUUAAUAUUCCAUUACUUCUGUGUAAUGCGAUGAGAGGACGGAGAAGGCUAAAUCAGCCUGGCGUUGGUUGUCCAGGUGAAAGGAUGUAGGCAUGUAUCUUAGGCAAAUCCGGGGUACUCUAUGCUGAGAUCUGAUAGCAAGCUGUACUUGUACAGCGAAGUGGUUGAUGCCAUGCUUCCAGGAAAAGUCUCUAAGCUUCAGUUACACAGGAAUCGUACCCGAAACCGACACAGGUGGUCAGGUCGAGUAGACCAAGGCGCUUGAGAGAACUCUGCUGAAGGAACUAGGCAAAAUGGUACCGUAACUUCGGGAGAAGGUACGCUGUUGUUGGUGAUGGAACUCGCUUCCUGAGCUGACGACAGCCGCAGAAACCAGGCCGCUGCAACUGUUUAUUAAAAACAUAGCACUCUGCAAACACGAAAGUGGACGUAUAGGGUGUGAUGCCUGCCCGGUGCUGGAAGGUUAAUUGAUGGGGUUAGCGUAAGCGAAGCUCUUGAUCGAAGCCCCAGUAAACGGCGGCCGUAACUAUAACGGUCCUAAGGUAGCGAAAUUCCUUGUCGGGUAAGUUCCGACCUGCACGAAUGGCAUAAUGAUGGCGGCGCUGUCUCCAGCAGAGGCUCAGUGAAAUCGAAAUCGCUGUGAAGAUGCAGUGUACCCGCGGCUAGACGGAAAGACCCCGUGAACCUUUACUGCAGCUUGACACUGAACUUUGACCUUACUUGUGUAGGAUAGGUGGGAGGCUUUGAAGCUGGAACGCUAGUUCCAGUGGAGCCGUCCUUGAAAUACCACCCUGGUAAUGUUGAGGUUCUAACUCUGUCCCGUGAUCCGGGACGAGGACCGUGUCUGGUGGGUAGUUUGACUGGGGCGGUCUCCUCCUAAAGAGUAACGGAGGAGUACGAAGGUGCGCUCAGCGUGGUCGGAAAUCACGCGUAGAGUAUAAAGGCAAAAGCGCGCUUAACUGCGAGACCCACAAGUCGAGCAGGUACGAAAGUAGGUCUUAGUGAUCCGGUGGUUCUGUAUGGAAGGGCCAUCGCUCAACGGAUAAAAGGUACUCUGGGGAUAACAGGCUGAUACCGCCCAAGAGUUCAUAUCGACGGCGGUGUUUGGCACCUCGAUGUCGGCUCAUCUCAUCCUGGGGCUGAAGCAGGUCCCAAGGGUAUGGCUGUUCGCCAUUUAAAGAGGUACGCGAGCUGGGUUUAGAACGUCGUGAGACAGUUCGGUCCCUAUCUACCGUGGGCGCUGGAAAUUUGAGAGGAUCUGCUCCUAGUACGAGAGGACCAGAGUGGACGAACCUCUGGUGUACCGGUUGUGACGCCAGUCGCAUCGCCGGGUAGCUAUGUUCGGAAGGGAUAACCGCUGAAAGCAUCUAAGCGGGAAGCCUACCUCAAGAUAAGAUUUCCCUAGGACUUUAUGUCCUCUAAAGAGCCGUUCGAGACUAGGACGUUGAUAGGUUGGAUGUGGAAGCAUAGUGAUAUGUGAAGCUGACCAAUACUAAUUGCUCGUGAGGCUUGACUAU